RNAcentral lists this ribosomal RNA (468 nucleotides) under uncultured bacterium. RNAcentral's name for it is "partial 16S ribosomal RNA". It matches the Rfam family "Bacterial small subunit ribosomal RNA", at positions 28 to 507 of the family's 1533-position model. The record is from RNAcentral.
GACGAACGCUGGCGGCGUGCCUAACACAUGCAAGUCGAACGGAAAGGCCCUGCUUUUGUGGGGUGCUCGAGUGGCGAACGGGUGAGUAACACGUGAGUAACCUGCCCUUGACUUUGGGAUAACUUCAGGAAACUGGGGCUAAUACCGGAUAGGAGCUCCUGCUGCAUGGUGGGGGUUGGAAAGUUUCGGCGGUUGGGGAUGGACUCGGGGCUUACGAGCUUGUUGGUGGGGUAGUGGCUUACCCAGGCUUUGGAGGGUAGCCGGCCUGGGAGGGGGACCGGCCACAUGGGGACUGAGAUACGGCCCAGACUCCUACGGGAGGCAGCAGGGGGGAAUAUUGCACAGUGGGCGGAAGCCUGAUGCAGCAACGCCGGGUGCGGGAUGACGGCCUUCUGGUUGUAAACCGCAUUCGCCUGUGACGAAGCGUGAGUGACGGUAAUGGGUGAAGAAGCACCGGCUAACUACGUG